Small nucleolar RNA from Helianthus annuus (common sunflower), 110 nucleotides. The record is from RefSeq and is a predicted model, not a curated record. Lineage: Eukaryota; Viridiplantae; Streptophyta; Magnoliopsida; Asterales; Asteraceae.
AGACCAUGAUGAGGACAUUUCCUCAAUUGCUCCUUGAAUCUUUCCCAAGUUUCAUAUAAGGAAUCCCCGUCCUCUUGUGAAUAUGUAUUGAUUUCAGUCAUUUAGCGAUU